GCGCAGCAGGCGAGAAACUUCACAAUGUGCGAAAGCACGAUGAGGGAAUCCCAAGUGCUUGCACGUAAGUGUAAGCUGUUUCUCUGUCUAAAACGCAGAGAGAGUAAGGGCUGGGUAAGACGGGUGCCAGCCGCCGCGGUAAUACCUGCAGCUCGAGUGGUGACCGUUAUUAUUGGGCCUAAAACGUCCGUAGCCGGUUUAAUAAAUGCCUGGGUAAAUCGGACCGCUUAACGGUUCGAAUUCCGGGUAGACUGUUAAACUUGAGACCGGGAGAAGUUGGAGGUACUCCUGGGGUAGAGGUGAAAUUCUGUAAUCCUAGGGGGACCACCAGUGGCGAAGGCGUCUAACCAGAACGGGUCUGACGGUGAGGGACGAAGCCC
RNAcentral lists this ribosomal RNA (380 nucleotides) under uncultured microorganism. RNAcentral describes it as "bacterial SSU rRNA". It matches the Rfam family "Archaeal small subunit ribosomal RNA", at positions 330 to 712 of the family's 1478-position model. The record is from RNAcentral.